This is a long non-coding RNA of Setaria italica (foxtail millet), 2671 nucleotides long. RefSeq lists it as uncharacterized. NCBI's taxonomy places the organism in Eukaryota, Viridiplantae, Streptophyta, Magnoliopsida, Poales, Poaceae. The transcript is spliced from 2 exons. The record is from RefSeq and is a predicted model, not a curated record.
GUGUCUUUGCAUUUCCAAGCUAGAGUGAAAAUGAGAGAUUGUAUAUUCUUACAAUCAGCAGCAACAUGAAAAAAAAAACCUUCCUCUUCCAUUCGUAUAGGUUUCUUUGCCGGUCAUUAGCCUCAUAGUAAUUCCCUUAUUACCUCUGAACUAUAUGAAAGCAUUACUCUCCGGCCGGCCAGUACAUGCAUACUCCAGGACAAAAGCUCAGCAAUAAUCAGUGUGGCUGCGUCCAAUAAUCCAAUUCCACGGUUCCACCAACGAUUCCAUGAUUCCUUGGCCCGCAUGUGCACCUGCUACGCCGGAGAUCACAUCGUACGAGCUCAAAUACUAGUUUAAUUAACUUACGACCUGCCAGGAUGCUUCAUCUUGGCUUCUUGCAUUGCGGCUAAUCAUGCAGUAAUGCAUGCAUGCGCUCGUCGUCAGGUUCGUCACAGCUCCAUCAUAUCCCAACGCUACGCGACGCUGCAGCAGGUACAGGUGUUCGCCGCCGCCGCCGCCGCUUCGUUCUCUUGCGGGUCUAAUCGCGACUGCUGAUUGCUCCAGGUAGGCUGGCGCGGAUCUAACAAUAAACCGGAAGCGAUCGAGGCAGCCGCAUGAUGGGUUUGGUGGAGCACGCGGCCGCGGUUGUAUGUUGCCUCUGCCUUCCUCUCUUCCGGCUUUCCUGGAUUCCUAGUUGACGAUGCAUGGCAUGGGUGGGUGCUGGGUGCAUGUGCUCGUGGAUCCUGUCUCUGAUUGCACAGCGAGCACGAGCACCUGUAUUACUCUCUGUUUAGUUCCAGGAUGCACCUGCGAUUCUGCAUCAUACAAUUACUCUCUGUUUUUACAAGGCUUAUUUAUUUAAUCGACAGGUAUACAUUAUUCUAUUAAUACAUAUUUUUUUGACAAAAUUGAUAUCAUUGUAUUUGUAUUAAAUAAUAAUUGUUUAUGAUUACACUCCUUGUCAGUCAAAAUCUUGUCCUAACUAAACAAAAUAUAUUUUAUUAAAAAUAGAGGGAGUAGCAAUUAUAUAUCAUUUUAGGAAUAUUUAUAUUAAUCCCUAGAUAAGACCUAAUAGAAAACAAGACAAACUCUAGAAAUUCUGAAAGAAGCAAAACACAUAACCAUUAUAUCUAAAUCAUCUAUAAGUUACCCAUCUUUAGCGUUAUAAAAUUUAACCUAUGGUACCGAAGAGGCCGGGAGAAAAGUCGCUCGGCCUCCUGAGCCGGGCGACUCGGGGGCGACCAAGUCGCGCUGCCGCCGCCGGCCCUCCCCUCCGGCGAGCGUCCCCCGCGGCCGCCUCCGGCUCCGGCGGCGGCUGGCUCCGAGCCACAGCAGCAGCUCCCAACACCCCAUGCCCCUCUCCUCCCCUCCUUCUUCAAUGGAUCUUGGUGCUUCUCCUUGCCUGGUGGCCGAUCUCCUCCAUGGGCCUUGUGGUCAGCUUGGAGAUGCUGCCAGGUGCUGGAUCUGGACCCCUAGGGGCUCGAUCUAGCCGCUUGGUGCUGCCCGCCCCUUCCUCCUCGUGUUGUGCUCCUCCCCCUCAGCUGACCUUUCCCGCUCGUCUGUGACGGUGGUUGUGCCUUCGUCUACGGGAGGGGGCUUGGUGCUACCACUGGCUACUGCCGGUGUGCUGGCGCGUAGUGCCUGCAUGCUGGCCACGGAUUCGGGUCGCCGGCGCGGCUGCCUCCCAGCAUCCCAUACUCGCUCCUCCGCUUUCGAGGAGCUUGGCUUGGUGGAUGCCAUCGUCCUUGCGAUGUUGAUUCUGUGCCUGUGGCUGCACUACGAGAGUGCCACGCUCGGCGUGCGGGGGGUGCCUUGCACCUCUACGCGGCCUUGGCAAAGAUCCUAGCCUCUUCGCUACCUCAUAUAGCUGUGAUGUCGGAAGUUGUGCAGCGAGAGCGCCACGCCAGGUGCGCGGGGAGGUGCUCCACCUCCGCACAUCCCGACGAGGGAUAUUUUCCUUUCUCCAUCAGCAUCUGCAAUGCUUUGUGGUCACCGCGUUUGCCUACUGUUCUCGGUUGUAGCUGCUUCCAAGGGCUUCCUUCCCCCAGCGUGCGGUUGAUGGUUGCUGUAUGGUGUGGCAACUUGAGAAGCUGGUCCUUUACCAACUUUUUGCGGGUGGUUGCAGCCAACCAUGGCUGCUGAGCGCUGGCUGGCUCAUCGGUCUUGACAAUGACAUUGUUCAGGUGGGGGGUUUGUCCCUCCCCUGUUGCCCUGUCUCGUUGUCAUAGGCUGGUUUUCCUCCUGGUGCUUGGUACCCAUUUGCAAAUUGGAGGUCUUCGUAUGCAAGCCAAUAGUCUUGACAAUGACAUUGUUUAGGUGGGGGGUUUGUCCCUCCCCUGUUGCCCUGUCUCGUUGUCAUAGGCUGGUUUUUCUCCUGGUGCUUGGUACCCAUUUGCGAAUUGGAGGUCUUCGUAUGCAGAGUUUCAUAGUGGUGGUUCUUACCAACAAAUCGGCUUCUUAGUGAUAACCGGUGUUUCCUCGAGCAGGGUCAAUUUAUCUUUUUGUUGUAUGGUGUUGGGUGUGUGUGCUGCGAUGAAAUCCUUUGUGGCUCCGUGUCUCCUUUUUGCCAAUUUUAUCUUAAUCACCGCCUCCUAGCUUGAAAGGGCGGGUGCCUGAUCUUGUAAUGUUCUUUUUAUGAAAUGAAAAGGUUCAGGAGGGCUUUCUUGGCCCCCCGUUGAUUCUAAAAAAA